GGGAUGGAGCGACGGCUGCCGGUACGGCCCUUGGCAGAGGCAGGGCCCGGAGGAGCCCGGGAUGGCGGCGGGCGGCGCACCUGGCUGCCACGCCCCUGGCCGCCAGGGGCUGGUCGGAGUCGGCACACCUGAGCAGCCUCCUCUGCUCCGCCUUGUCCAGGAUGUUCUUCCGGAGCACACGGGCCAGACUGAGCUCCCCGCUGCACACCAGGCGGAAGACCAGCUCCAUCAGCAGCUUCAAGAUCUCCUCCGUCAACUCCACUAGGCUGAAGGGCCAAGGGCCAUGCGGUGAGGGGCAGGGAUGCAAGCAUAAGAAGAGGGCUGCUGCCACCGGGUCCAGAACCCCCUCAAGACUCCUGAGACGCCCACCAGCAGAGCUGGGAAACCUCUCGUGGGAAGAGAGCCAGAGAAGAUGGUCGCUGGCACUGGAUAAGCACCAGGGACCAUGCUGUGGCCUGGGCUAUGGAGACAAAUCCUGCCCCAGGGGAGCUCCUGAUCCCACGGGGGUGAUGAAUCACGACGAGGUCUGGGCUCCACAGACCAGACAGCCCUAGGACGCCCCUGCACAGUAUUCCAUAAACACGCAGUAUUUCACAGCCCCACCCCGUAAUCACUAAGGCCACCCCCCAGCAGAAGCACGAAGAACGUGUUCUUGCUGACGCGCUUCUUGAAUGUGUCAGCAAAAGGAGAGAACUUCUCGUACGUGGGCGCAGGUUAAAGAAACAACCGCCCUCACAGAACCGUCUCCCUGCACUCCCAGGCUUGCCUCGCUGCUGGGAUCAACCGAAGGUUCCUGUGACCGCUGAAACGCUGAAGGCUGCAUCGCUGAGCUCAGGCAGAGAAAGCUUCAGAGGCUGCCUGCACAUCUGCCCUUCAAACACCUGACUACUUCCUCCCUGAGGCCGUGGGUUCCACCUUGAGGGUCACGACUUCUCGCUGCCCUCGUGUUCACCAAGCCUCCAGACACUUCUAUGGCUCCAUACCGCCUGCUCUCAGGAAGAAGCCAUGCACCAGGGACAGCGCCGAGGGCCGGUAGCACACAGGACCCACUAGCCAGCUGCGCCCAGGAUCUCAAUGCUGCAACACGUCCGUUAACAUGCCUGAAGCGCCAAGCAGGGCAGAUGCUGAGGUGCCGAGUCAGAGAGGCCUGGGGGGCACUCUCCCUCCAAGCUGCCAGACGGGUCACUUAACCUCUCUGAACUUCAGUUUCCUUAAUUACACAGUAGGAAAUAAUAUCAUGG
Eubalaena glacialis (North Atlantic right whale) is the source of this 1241-nucleotide long non-coding RNA. RefSeq lists it as uncharacterized. The record is from RefSeq and is a predicted model, not a curated record. Lineage: Eukaryota; Metazoa; Chordata; Mammalia; Artiodactyla; Balaenidae. The transcript has 5 exons.